Molecule: non-coding RNA, 269 nt
Filed under: Desulforamulus aeronauticus
Lineage: Bacteria; Bacillati; Bacillota; Clostridia; Eubacteriales; Peptococcaceae
Description: Desulfotomaculum aeronauticum T-box sequence
Rfam family: T-box leader
About the family: Uncharged tRNA acts as the effector for transcription antitermination of genes in the T-box leader family. T-boxes are found upstream of many aminoacyl-tRNA synthetase genes and some amino acid biosynthetic genes usually in Gram-positive bacteria. The anticodon of a specific tRNA base pairs to a specifier sequence within the T-box motif, and the NCCA acceptor tail of the tRNA base pairs to a conserved bulge in the T-box antiterminator hairpin.
Source: RNAcentral
CGAAUGUCUAUGAAGGAGAAAAGUAGGACAGAUCCCAGUCUCACAGGGAGGAAACGUCACCGACUGUAAGCGUUUCCAGGCAUGGCUGACUGAAGUUCUCUCCGGAGAUGCCGACUGAACGAAAGAAGUAGGUUAGGCCGUAGUUCCCACGUUACAGGGAAGGGGGUAUCGGACUUGGUUCCCGUACUCUGCACAAGGGGGUCUCUUUUUCUUUUGGAGAGAUCAACUAGGGUGGUAACGCGGCAAGCUUUAGGCUUCUCGUCCCUAUU